GUGAGGAAUAUUGGUCAAUGGACGGAAGUCUGAACCAGCCAUGCCGCGUGGAGGAAGAAGGUCCUAUGGGUUGUAAACUCCUUUUGUUCCGGAGUAAUAAGGUCUUUGCGAAGACCGAUGAGAGUACGGGACGAAUAAGCAUCGGCUAACUCCGUGCCAGCAGCCGCGGUAAUACGGAGGAUGCAAGCGUUAUCCGGAUUUAUUGGGUUUAAAGGGUGCGCAGGCGGCGCGUUAAGUCAGCGGUGAAAUCUCAUGGCUCAACCAUGGAACUGCCGUUGAUACUGGCGUGCUGGAGUACGGACGGCGCCGGCGGAAUGUGUCAUGUAGCGGUGAAAUGCUUAGAUAUGCCACAGAACACCGAUCGCGAAGGCAGCUGGCGAGGCCGGUACUGACGCUCAGGCACGAAAGCGUGGGGAUCAAACAGGAUUAGAAACCCUAGUAGUCC
RNAcentral lists this ribosomal RNA (445 nucleotides) under uncultured bacterium. RNAcentral's name for it is "bacterial SSU rRNA". It matches the Rfam family "Bacterial small subunit ribosomal RNA", at positions 354 to 796 of the family's 1533-position model. The record is from RNAcentral.